AUGUAUCCCUGUCUUCCUCUCUCUCUCUAUGUCUCACUGUCUUCCUCUCUCUCUGUCUCCCUGUCUUCCUCUCUCUCUCUAUGUCUCACUGUCUUCCUCGCUCUCUCUCUAUGUCUCCCUGUCUUCCUCUCUCUCUCUAUGUCUCCAUGUCUUCCUCUCUCUCUGUCUCCCUGUCUUCCACUCUCUCUCUAUGUCUCCCUGUCUUCCUCUCUCUCUUUAUGUCUCCCUGUCUUCCUCUCUCUCUCUAUGUCUCCCUGCCUUCCUCUCUCUCUCUCUCUCUCUCUAUGUCUCCCUGUCUUUCUCUCUCUAUGUAGACGGUCUGUCUGUCUGUCUGUCUGUCUGUCUGUCUGUCUGUCUGUCUGUCUGUCUGUCUGUCUGUCUGUCUGUCUCUCUAUGUCUCUCUCCCUCUGUCUCACUCCCUCUCUCUCUUUCUCUCUAUGUCUCUCUGCCUCUAUGUCUUUCUCUCUCUCCCUCUAUGUCUCUCUGCCUUCCUCUCUCUAUGUCCCUCUCCCCCCUCUCUCUCUCUUUCCUCAUGUAUGGCUGAGGCUUGAAAGGCCAUUGGUCAGGGACAUAGAUAGAAAGAAGGAUGUGUCUGUUGUAAUUUUCUGUCUUGUUUAGUAUGAAAUGGAAACACCACUCCUGCAACCCAUCAGCUGUCUCAACCCAGACGCAGCUCAAACCUAUGGGAGGUCUCAUCAACCCAAGAUUGCCCCUACCACCCUCACCAAACCACUACUGCGUCAGUUGUUAACUGAGCCAGACACAGGGAUGGAUGUCCACCCCCCACAGUACUGCGACUAUACUGCAAGGCACAGCCAUUUUCUGCCUGGGGCAGACCUAAUGCUCCACCAGCAGACAAAUAGAGAAGACCAAUGACAGAGACAGGCCACAGUGCUCUGUCUGGAGCUGGAGCCUCCAAGGCCUGUGGGUUAAGUAAGUAGCAUACUAAGGUUUGUUGUUGACUCCAGACAUGGUCAAGUGACGUUGGCAGUCGCAGGCCACACACACACACACACACACACACGACUGCCUUCGUCACUUCUUGAGUGUGUGUGUGUGUGUGUGUGUACCUGCGUGUGUGUGUGUGUGUACCUGCGUGUGUGUGUGUGUGUGUGUGUGUACCUGCGUGUGUGCGUGUGUGUGUGUGUGUGUGUGUGUGUGUGUGUGUGUGUGUGUGUGUGUGUGUGUGUGUGUGUGUGUGUGUGUGUGUGUGUGUGUGUGUGUGUGUGUGUGUGUGUGUGUGUACCUGCGUGUGUGUGUGCAUUCCUAUGCGCAGCAGAAAUGUUAAGUGACUGGUGGGAGUACAAAGGCAAACAUUAGUGGAUUAUAGAGAGGAAAGGAUUUGUACCAACCAGAGAAGUCUCCUGUUGCAAUGCCAAUAAAACACACCAACCAGUCCAGGGCAUUUUAUCACCAGAAAACAGACUCUUUAUUUCAUGUAAGCAGAUUUAAGCGUAUCAGUGAGCUGGAGAUUUGUUUAUUUGAAGUUAAGCGAGAUUUGUGGAAAAUUCAUAAUGGAUUUAGAGGUUUUUAAACAGUCACUGAGCUCUGUAGUGCUCUAGGUGCACACACACACACACACACACACACACACACACACACACACACACACACACACACACACACACACACACACACACACACACACACACACACACACACACACACACACACACACACACACACACACACACACACACACACACACACACUCCUUCUCUUCAAUGAACACUACAGGAUUUAUUACAAACCUGUUAAGCUGAAGACAAAACCGUCUGUAAUGUUUCUCCCACCUCCAAGUCUGGAUCAUCUCUAAACAGUCUUGUUCCUAUUCACACCACACACAACAUGGCCUUUACACUUGACACACAUCACCUCUAAACUAACUAUUAUAAUUACAGAGAUGUCUGUAUUAAAAACAGCAUAAUUACAAGAUACACAGUGACUCUGUCUGGUUUUAAUAUUGUCUCUACUUAAAGAGCAUUCAGUCAAAACGACAAUUCUACUGACGUAGAGUUAACAUCUACUUCAUGGGGCGGCAGGUUAGAGUGUAGAGGCGGCAGGGUAGCCUAGUGGUUAGAGUGUAGAGGCGGCAGGGUAGCCUAGUGGUUAGAGUGUAGAGGCGGCAGGGUAGCCUAGUGGUUAGGGUGUAGAGGCGGCAGGGUAGCCUAGUGGUUAGAGUGUAGAGGCGGCAGGGUAGCCUAGUGGUUAGAGUGUAGAGGCGGCAGGGUAGCCUAGUGGUUAGAGUGUAGAGGCGGCAGGGUAGCCUAGUGGUUAGAGUGUAGAGGCGGCAGGGUAGCCUAGUGGUUAGAGUGUAGAGGCGGCAGGGUAGCCUAGUGGUUAGAGUGUAGAGGCGGCAGGGUAGCCUAGUGGUUAGAGUGUAGAGGCGGCAGUGUAGCAUAGUGGUUUGAGUGUAGAGGCGGCAGGGUAGCCUAGUGGUUAGAGUGUAGAGGCGGCAGGGUAGCCUAGUGGUUAGAGUGUAGAGGCGGCAGGGUAGCCUAGUGGUUAGAGUGUAGAGGCGGCAGGGUAGCCUAAUGGUUAGAGCGUUGGCCGUGGUAUACUGGCCAUAUAUCACAAACCCCCGAGGCACCUUAUUACUAUUAUCAUACCCGUGGUAUACAACGGCUGUCAGCCAAUCAGCAUUCAGGGCUCAAACCAGCCAGUUUAUAAUACAGGAUAAUGUUAUAGAUAGUAUACCAGUGGAGGAUAGUAGUGUGAUAUUGUUUUUACUUGAGGUCUGUAAAUACAUGUCAACACCCACCUUACAUCACCUGACCACUCACUCACAUGCAAUCCUGACAGACACUUUUUUGUUAACAUCCAUCACAAGAGAAACACAUGCAUGCUUGUGUGUGUGUGUGUGUCAUCCAUCGCAAUAACAAUACUGCUCUUUAGUGAACCAUGGAUCCUAAUGAUUAAGUUUGAAUAAUUACAGUUAUUGCAUAUCAUAACUAGAGUUGCAAAAGGUCGGCAACUUUCCGCUAAAUUUCCAGAAUUUUUCAGUGGGAAGUUAAGCCCGGGAAUUUGGGGAAUUUUGCUUAAAUUCAUCAAAAAAGUUACCUUAUAACAGUGAACAUUUUGUGGGAUACACAUAAGGCAAUUCUAGGUCUUGUGGCAUAUUUUGGUUAAACUAUCCCCAAUUCAAUAGAAUUGCAACCCUCUGCAUGCACAGUGCAUUCUUCCAUCACAUGAGCAGUGCACUCUUCCAUCACAUGUACACAGCUGAUUCUCAAGAUCUUCCACACUAAUGAGAUGCUAUUGAGCCCACUACUACACUGUCUGAGUGAUGGAGUCCAGGUGAGUGUCAUUAUGUGCUGAUGCGUGUAACGAUGGUGACAGGUGUGCGCCUGGUGCCCUAGAGGACGGAGAGGAAGCACACGUGACAACUACAUGCUUUCUAGUAAGUUUUGAUUAUAAUACUGGGUGGGGUGAAUAUAUUCUAUAUGACAUACAUAAUUUGUUGUUAACUAGUAAAUAGUAGCCUACAGCGACGUGUAUUUAAAUAAUUUCUAACUUGUUAACAAUUUCUGCUAGUUAGUUUUUGCUACCAUGUGGGUUUUAGCUUGUUUGAGCCUGCUAACUGAUGAGUGUUAAUUCACCUGUUUCCAUACAUGUUUCAUUUUUAAACAUGUAUCUUACAAAGGAGUUGUUUAAUCUAAAUGCUUAAUAAUUCAUCUGUACAUGGAAUUCUAUUUGUUUUUUUAACUCAUUUUUUUCUCAUCUUUACAGGAAAAUGCAGCGGACACUGUCUGAUGUGUGGAGACAUCUCACUGCAGCUAAUGUAGAAGGAAAAGCUGUGUACAUUUGCAAAUACUGUUUCAAAACAUAUGUGAAGAAGCAACAAAGAUGCAGAAUCAUCUGGCCAAGCGCAUACAAUUCCCUCAGCGCUCACAACAAGCAACCUCUGACAGAAGUCACUCUACUUCUAUUCAAGGUGAAAAUGAUGAAUCCGACACCUUAUCGAUAGCAACAGCUCAUGGUCCUCCUGGAAUCAGUUUUUUUUUUGACUCAAUGGAGGAACAUAGUCAGAAAAAUGCUGAUGAAUGUCUUGCUGCUCGAGCCGUGUAUGCAACUGGUUCACCUCUGAUGCUCACAGGCAAUGUGUACUGGAAGAGAUUAUCUGAAUGUUAUUCGCCCAGCAUACAACCCUCCAACCAGACAUGCAUUAUCUACUCAUUUGCUGGAUGCAGAGUUCAACAGAGUUCAAGUGAAGGUCAAGCAAAUCAUAGAGAAAGCAGACUGUAUUGCAAUCAUCUCUGAUGGGUGGCCGAAAGCUCGUGGGCAAGGAAUAAUUAACUACACCAUCUCCACCCCUCAACCAGUAUUCUACAAGAGCACAGACACAAGGGACAACAGACACACCGGUCUCUACAUUGCAGAUAAGCUGAAUGCAGUCAUCAAUGACCUUGGACCACAGAAGUUAUUUGCACUAGUGACAGACAAUGCUGCGAACAUGAAGGCUGGUUGGUCUAAAGUGGAGGAGUCCUACCCUCACAUCACACCCAUUGGCUGUGCUGCUCAUGCAUUAUAUCUGCUCCUCAAGGACAUCAUGGCACUAAAAACAAUGGAUACACUCUACAAGAGAGUCAAGGAAAUUGUUAUGUAUGUGAAGGGUCAUCAAGUUAUUGCAGCAAUCUACCUCACCAAGCAAAGUGAGAAGAAUAAGAGCACCACAUUGAAGCUGCCCAGCAACACCCGUUGGGGUGGUGUUGUCAUCAGUCUCCUGUAGGGGAAGGAGUCGCACCAAGUAAUGGCCAUAUUACAGUCUGCCGAUAUGGACAGCCCCAUCAAGAGGAUCCUCCUGGUUGAUGUAUUUUGGGAGAGAGUGGUAAGCACCCUGAAACCUCUGAAACCUAUAGAAGUAGCCAUUGCACGGAUUGAGGGAGGCAAUGCCAUCCUGUCUGAUGUUCAGACUCUGCUUGCAGAUGUAAGAGAAGAAAUCCGUACUGCCCUGCCCACUUCACUGUUGCUCCAAACAGAGGAAACUGCAGUUCUGAAAUACAUCAAAAAGCGUGAAGACUUCAACCUGAGCCCAUACACGCCGCAGCGUUCAUGUUGGACCCCAAGUAUACUGGCAAGAGCAUCCUGUCUGGUGCAGAGAUCAACAAGGCCUAUGGUGUCAUCUCUACCGUGUCUCGCCACCUUGGCCUGGAUGAGGGCAAGGUUCUUGGCAGUCUGGCGAAGUACACUUCCAAGCAAGGGCUUUGGGAUGGAGAUGCAAUAUGGCAGUCGUGCCAACAUAUCUCAUCCGCCACCUGGAGGAAGGGACUUUGUGGAUCUGAGGCUCUUGUUGCCUCCAUUAUCCUCCAAAUCCAACCAACAUUAGCCGACUCAUAGCGCAACUGGUCCUUGUUUGGGAACACACACCAAAGCACGCAACAGGCUGAACAAUACAAGGGUUGAAAAAUUGGUGGCCAUUGGACAAUUUUGUGGCUUUUUGAGCCUGGCAACAAGCCAUCCUCAACAAGGAAGAUGAGGCCUCAGAGUGAUGUUCAAGAGGUGGACAUUGAGGAGGUCCAGGGAGAAGACAUGGAAGCCUGAGAGGAAGACAACCAAAGCUUUAGUUUCUAGACCAUCAUAUUGUAUGUUGAAAACGUUUUUGGGAGAUUCGAUAGAUCAUUGGGGAUCAUUCAAUAUUCCCUUUCUUUUGUUGGUCAGUGAAAUCAUCCCAUGUGAAGAGUCAUCUCAUUUAAUUAAAGUUCAAUUCGUAACAAUUUAUUUUAUUUAGAAGAAUUUAAUCAUUUGCAAUUUUGCCUACUUAUGAUAAGUUAAAAGGUUUAUGUUUCUGCCUCCAUAUGAUAUGGUAAAUAUAUCCAAUGCAAAAAACAUGACAUUUAAAUGGUAUUAAUAUUAAUUCCCAUAUAUUACCGUUAAAUCUCACGGAAAGUUUCCACCUCUGAAUAUUCCCCAAAAUGUGCAACCUUAAUCAUAACACCUAAAGUAUGUUCCUGAAUUCAACCUAGAGCAGGUGGGAUGAACAUGUACACACAGUAUUGAUCUGAUCUGGCCUCUGAUGUUCAGGGAAGUUCAAGGAAGAAGGAGAAGGGCGGCCAUUUUGACUCCCCGUUUCCCCACGGUUCCACCUCGCAGAGAAGGAGACAGGAGAGAGAGACAAGAGGAAGGAGCAGACAGAUGUCAGUGAAGGAUGAUACGUGUGACAGAGGCUAUCUGAAGACAGUAGAGAAGAGGGAGGAAGGUAGGUAGUGUUCAACAAGGAAAUGUACAGAAUGCAGUUUCUGAAAAAAACCUUUCCAGACUCUGAUCAACUAAAGUACAACUGCUCUACUCAGAUUUGAUUCUAUUUCAGGGUCUAUAUUCUGAUAUACAGUCUGUAUUAGCCAGUCUGUUAAUGCUAUCACGCCAACUACUUGUCACUCAUUGAGUACGUUUACAUGCACAGUAAUAAUUCCAUAUGAACUGAUUAUGGCAGUAGACAGAUUAUGAAAUAGUCAUGUAAACACCUUCCUCUGCUUAUCUUAAUUGGCGUGAGGUCAAAAUCAAAGUAAGCAUACGGCGAUUUAAACACCUGGUUGUCUGAGCAACGGUUUAAAUGAUUAGGACAUGUAAACACCUUAAUCGACGUUCCAGCAGUGUAAUUGAUUUGUGUAUGUGCCAGCACCAGCCGAGAGCCUCCCUCUUUAGUGAGAAGGAAGUGAGUUCAGAACAACUGAAUGCAUGUGUCUUAAAAGUAGCUUUCACACACCAACUUUAUAUGUCCGAAAUCAGAAUCAAAUAUGCUUUCCAGAAAUAACAUCUUCAUUGUGGUGGAACAUUUAUUUUCAGAUUGCCAUCAGGUGGUCUGAUUUCAGAUGUGUCCAUGUAAACAGGUUUAUUAGGGAAAUUGUUCUUCUUGCAAAGCUUGUAAAAAUGUUUUAUCUAACUAUUAUAUUAAUCUGACUAUCCACAAUAAUCACAUUAUUGAGUGCAUGUAGCUGCACUCAUUGUCAUUCGGCUUGACAAUUUGCAACCCAUUAUUUGUAUUUCUACUUUGCACAUUCUUCCACUGCAAAUCUACCAUUCCAGUGUUUUACUUGCUAUAUUGUAUUUACUUCGCCACCAUGGCCUUUUUUUUUGCCUUUACCUCCCUUCUCACCUCAUUUGCUCACAUUGUAUAUAGACUUGUUUAUACUGUAUUAUUGACUGUAUGUUUGUUUUACUCCAUGUGUAACUCUGUGUCGUUGUAUCUGUCAAACUGCUUUGCUUUAUCUUGGUCAGGUCGCAUUUGUAAAUGAGAACUUGUUCUCAACUAGCCUACCUGGUUAAAUAAAGGUGUUCUCAACUAGCCUACCUGGUUAAAUAAAGGUGUUCUCAACUAGCCUACCUGGUUAAAUAAAGGUGUUCUCAACUAGCCUACCUGGUUAAAUAAAGGUGUUCUCAACUAGCCUACCUGGUUAAAUAAAGGUGUUCUCAACUAGCCUACCUGGUUAAAUAAAGGUGUUCUCAACUAGCCUACCUGGUUAAAUAAAGGUGUUCUCAACUAGCCUACCUGGUUAAAUAAAGGUGUUCUCAACUAGCCUACCUGGUUAAAUAAAGGUGUUCUCAACUAGCCUACCUGGUUAAAUAAAGGUGUUCUCAACUAGCCUACCUGGUUAAAUAAAGGUGUUCUCAACUAGCCUACCUGGUUAAAUAAAGGUGUUCUCUACUAGCCUACCUGGUUAAAUAAAGGUGUUCUCAACGAGCCUACCUGGUUAAAUAAAGGUG
Molecule: long non-coding RNA, 7701 nt
Organism: Oncorhynchus keta (chum salmon)
Lineage: Eukaryota; Metazoa; Chordata; Actinopteri; Salmoniformes; Salmonidae
Exons: 2
Source: RefSeq, a predicted model, not a curated record